AAGAUUCUAUUCUUUCUCAUCCAAGUCUUCCUUUUCUUCUCAUCCAAUUCUUAUAUUCUCGGAAUUCUGUCUCAAUCUCUGCAUCCAGAGAUUGAUCCUAAGCUGAUGCCAACUACUUACUAAUUCAGUUAUGAUAACAGCUUCUUUAACAAUAUUUCCCUCCAAAACCCAUCCUUAUCCAUACUCUCAACUACUUAAGAAGCAUUAAUUCUCUUUGGUUACAUAAUGGAGCCUAAGCCCAGGAAUAAAAACUACAAGCUGCACAUAUGAGAAGUAAUAUCACCACAAGCAUCAUCCAAAAUCAAACUAAGGAGAUCACUUGGGGUACACAGGAAGAAACAGGCUUCCAUAUUAAGAAGAAUGGCAUAGUUCACCGGCCACUCACAUAAACACUCAACUCCCAGUAGAAAUGGGCAAGCUGGAUAUGCCACUCCAGAUCAAGCAUUUGCAUUAAGUUGGAGAUUGAAGGCAUAUGAGGGCUACGAGAAUCAUCACCCAGAAAAGGAAUCUCCACAACAAUCUUAGAACCCGCAUUGACUAGCACUUUCACCAAAAUAUGAUUUUAUAAUAAAACAUCUCAAUGAUUGUAAAAGCAAAUUAUUUGCCAGUAAAGAGAAGCAAGGUAAUGCCUGGCAAUUUCAGAAUGCAAAGCCAUG
RNAcentral lists this unclassified non-coding RNA (656 nucleotides) under Hevea brasiliensis (rubber tree). Lineage: Eukaryota; Viridiplantae; Streptophyta; Magnoliopsida; Malpighiales; Euphorbiaceae. The record is from RNAcentral.